Molecule: transfer RNA, 74 nt
Filed under: Candidatus Doudnabacteria bacterium CG10_big_fil_rev_8_21_14_0_10_41_10
Lineage: Bacteria; Candidatus Doudnaibacteriota
Description: tRNA-Gln
Rfam family: tRNA
About the family: Transfer RNA (tRNA) molecules are approximately 80 nucleotides in length. Their secondary structure includes four short double-helical elements and three loops (D, anti-codon, and T loops).
Source: RNAcentral
UGGGCGAUCGUCCAAUGGUAAGACUGUAGACUCUGAAUCUGCCUAUGGGGGUUCGAAUCCCUCUCGCCCAGCCA